This 514-nucleotide ribosomal RNA is filed under the name Dematochroma sp. JGZ-21. RNAcentral's name for it is "partial 12S ribosomal RNA". The record is from RNAcentral. Lineage: Eukaryota; Metazoa; Arthropoda; Insecta; Coleoptera; Chrysomelidae.
ACAUAAUUUAGAGCCUAAUUCACUUUAAUUAAUAAAUAAAAUUACAUUCAAAUCCAAAUUUAAAAUUCUAAUUAUAAAAUUUAUCCUAAAAUAAAUUUAUUGUAAUCCAUCGCUUCUUUUACAAGCUGCACCUUGAUCUGAUUUCCUAUAAUAUUAAAUAUCAAAAUUAUAUAUAUUCAAAAAUAAUUAUUAACGACGAUAUACAAGCAAAAUAAAAGUUUUAUUAAUCGUGGAUUAUCGAUUACAGGACAGAUUCCCCUGAUUGGAAUAAAAAACCGCCAGAUUUUUUGGUUUUAAAGAACAUAGCUAAUAUUUACCAAGUAAAAAUUAUAUUUACAUCUAGAAUAAUGGGGUAUCUAAUCCCAGUCUAAAAAUCCAGAUUUCUUAACUUCAUAAUCAAAACUUUUAUCUAUUAAAAAAUAAGAUUUCACCCAACAUUUAUUAAAAUAAAAAUAAAUUAUUAUUAAUUAAAUAAAAACUGAAAAAAAAUAAUAGUUUUAUCUGUAUAACCGCA